GGUUUUUCGUUGAUAUAUGAAUAAUCAAGCCUGCCCACUGAAGUAAUUUGAAGGGCUGCAGUAUAUUAACUGUACAAAGGUAGCAUAAUCAUUAGUCUUUUAAUUGGGGACUGGAAUGAAAGGUUUGACAGGUUUUAGCUGUCUCUUGGGUAAUAAUUGAAGUUUUAUUCUUGUGAAAAAGCACGAGUGAGCUAAAGGGACGAGAAGACCCUAUUAAACUUUUUUUUGAUUUGAUUAUUUUUCGAUAGAUGAAAAAUAUAGUCAAAUUAAAUUUUACUGGGGCGGUGAGUUAUAAACGUUAUUUUUAUAUAAUAUUUUACUUAGCUAUUUGAUAGAUCCAAAUGGUUGAUAAGGAGAAAUAGUUACUAUAGGGAUAACAGCGUAAUAUUUUUUAAGAGUUCAUAUUGACAAAAAUGUUUGCGACCUCGAUGUUGGAUUAAGAAUUCUUUUAGGUGCAGGAGUCUAAUAUGAUUGUCUGUUCGACAAUUAAAUUCUU
Molecule: ribosomal RNA, 496 nt
Filed under: Litostrophus segregatus
Lineage: Eukaryota; Metazoa; Arthropoda; Diplopoda; Spirobolida; Pachybolidae
Description: partial 16S ribosomal RNA
Rfam family: Bacterial large subunit ribosomal RNA
Source: RNAcentral